CGACCGCUUCCGACUGCGGCGGAUCCAGGCUGGGGCCAGCGCGGCGUCCCCGCCAGACAACCGCUGCCUGCCUAUUGGGCUCGGCUCAGGUGGUUUUAUCUGUUUCUAAUGUAUUCUGGGUACGGAGGCGUCCUGAUCAGAAUCUUAGAGAAAGGCGAGGGAAGGAAAUGCACUCCCUGCUCCACCCCUUUGCAGACCUCAAUAAUAGGACAGAAAUGUGGACAAGGUCAAGGCAGAUCCAGUAACACUGACAUCCAUGCUUGGGGGAUUUCACUUGGUUCUGAAGAGAAUGCCCCAGGGCCUUGGAGCCCAGUCCCCGGAGCAGAAGACUGAAGCACAUAGGAAAAUGGAAGACAGAAGAGAGGAACGGACAGGGCAGAGUUAGCGCUCCCACCGAGUGACUCCAAAGGAUUCCUAGAAAAGAUGCAGCUUUCAAAGGCGACUGCAGUGAGGAGUAUCUGUGAACAAUUUCAAGAAUCACUUCUGAAGAAAUACCAGUACAGAAAUUAUUAUGAUUUGCAAUCACACCUGUGUGUACUGAACAACAUGACCUGUGAAAUCCUGCAGUAUAUUAUAGAAGAAGCACAUAAGGAGUGAUAUGGCACAUUCUCAAUUGAGGAUAACUUAUGAAAAACAUUUUAUCCAUUGGACACCUCUUCUUUUUUUUUUGAUAAUUUUCAUACAGUCUUAAUCUAGGUUAUCCAUUUCAGUCAUGUAGUUUGAGAGCAUAAAUAUAGCAAUCACAAAACCAAAAGUAUGUUCAAUACUUUGAAAUUAUUAUUGCUAAUUUUCUUGAUCAUUUUCUAAAUAAUGGAUAAUUAAAUAUUUUCAAGUAUCCACUAUACUUUGUACAAAACUGUACAAAAACAGUGAAAUAUAAUCCUUUGCAUAUACACUCACAUAUACACACUCAUAUUUAUAAAUAUCAAAUGGCAAUGAAUGAUGAAAUAUAAAAACACAAGGACAAAGUCCAUUCCUUUGAUAAAAUAGUAUUUCCAAUUUUACAAUGUAUUCCAGCUACCUGUGGUCAUGUACACCUGUAAUCCCAGUACUCAGAAGGCUGAGGCAGGAAGCUCACCAUGAGUUCAAGGGGAGCAUGGGCUACAUAGUGAGUUCAAGGCCAGCCUGAACUACAUAACAAGACCCUACCUUAAAAACAUAUUCAAAUCAAAUCAAAUGCAUUCCAUAGUGGUUUUACUAAUAUACAUUUCCACCUACAGUGUAGCAGGGUUCUUUUGUCCCCACAGCUUUGCCAGUACCAACUAUUUGUUAUUGAUUGUUUGAUGAUAGCCGUUCUUUCAGGAGUGAAAUGAAAUCUCAGUGUUGUCAUUUGCAUUUCUCUAAUGAUCAGUGAUGUUGAACAUUUAUGCGUUUUAUUGGCCAUUUAUGCUUCAUGUAAGAAGUGUCUAUUCAUUUCAGAUGUCCAUCUUUUGAUUGGGUCUUUUAUUUUGGGGGCUCUAAUUUUUUUGAGUUCUUUAUAUGUUAUAAAUGGAGAACUAAAAAAAAAAAAACUAAAGUAGAAAUUCCAUCUGAUCCAGCUAUGUGUCUUCUCACAAGAGUGAAAGAUGUCAUAUUGCAGUGAUAUGCAUUAAUAUGUUUAUAGCAGCACAAAUUAUAAUAGCUAAAUCUUGAAUGUUAUAUGUUCAUGAACAGAUGAAUGGUUAAAAACGAUGUGAUAUUUAUAUACAUAAUGAAGUAAUUUUCUGCCAUGAAGAAGGAUAAAACUUGAGUAAUUUGUAGGAAAAUGGAUGCACUUUGAGACCAUAAUGUUAACCAAAAUGAAUCAGACACACAAGCUUAGAUAUUGCAUGAUUUCUCUUAUAUGUGAACCCCAAAAUUCAAAUAAAGAACAAAAGAAUAAAUAGA
This 1866-nucleotide long non-coding RNA is filed under the name Heterocephalus glaber (naked mole-rat). RNAcentral describes it as "lncRNA (ENSHGLG00000045373.1)". Lineage: Eukaryota; Metazoa; Chordata; Mammalia; Rodentia; Bathyergidae. The record is from RNAcentral.